CACCUCCAGCAUUCCCAGUAUUGGAGGCAUUGCCUGCCCAGUGACAACUGUUUAACGGCCGCGGUAUCCUGACCGUGCAAAGGUAGCAUAAUCAUUUGUUCUCUAAAUAAGGACUUGUAUGAAUGGCCGCACGAGGGUUUUACUGUCUCUUACUUCCAAUCAGUGAAAUUGACCUUCCCGUGAAGAGGCGGGAAUGCACAAAUAAGACGAGAAGACCCUAUGGAGCUUUAACUAACCAACCCAAAGAGAAUAGAUUUAACCAUUAAGGAAUAACAACAAUCUCCAUGAGUUGGUAGUUUCGGUUGGGGUGACCUCGGAGAAUAAAAAAUCCUCCGAGCGAUUUUAAAGACUAGACCCACAAGUCAAAUCACUCUAUCGCUCAUUGAUCCAAAAACUUGAUCAACGGAACAAGUUACCCUAGGGAUAACAGCGCAAUCCUAUUCAAGAGUCCAUAUCGACAAUAGGGUUUACGACCUCGAUGUUGGAUCAGGACAUCCUGAUGGUGCAACCGCUAUCAAAGGUUCGUUUGUUCAACGAUUAAAGUCCU
Molecule: ribosomal RNA, 547 nt
Filed under: Bos taurus (domestic cattle)
Lineage: Eukaryota; Metazoa; Chordata; Mammalia; Artiodactyla; Bovidae
Also listed under: 1 other name
Description: partial large subunit ribosomal RNA
Rfam family: Bacterial large subunit ribosomal RNA
Source: RNAcentral